This is a transfer RNA of Camelus ferus (Wild Bactrian camel), 72 nucleotides long. It matches the Rfam family "tRNA". From Rfam's summary of the family: Transfer RNA (tRNA) molecules are approximately 80 nucleotides in length. Their secondary structure includes four short double-helical elements and three loops (D, anti-codon, and T loops). NCBI's taxonomy places the organism in Eukaryota, Metazoa, Chordata, Mammalia, Artiodactyla, Camelidae. The record is from Rfam.
GCGGGUAUAGCUCAGUGGUAAAGCACGUGCUUAGCACGCAGAAGGUCCUGGGUUCAAUCCCCAGUACCUCCA